UUUUUUUUUUUUUUUUUUUUUUUAAUUAAAUAUAUAUAUUCAGAGGGCUUUAAAUAUAAAUUGUUUUUUAGAGUGGGGUUUUUGGGGAGUGCUGAGCUUGUCUUCACUGUAAUGAAAAGGGACAGUCAGCAGAUGGCAAUGUUGUAUAGCUAUCCCAACAGGAGACAGCCACAUCAGCAAGGGAGGGAAACCUCUUAAGUAGCCAUAAGGGAAAAUGGAAUGGCCCCUGCAGGCCUUUGGAGACUUGGCCCUUCAAGCAUACUUCGUCUGAAUCCUUGUGCAGUCUUUCUGUGUUUGUAAUAAAUUUUGUAACAAUUCAACAUUAAAACCCCCUCAUUUGAAAGGGAAAGCCCAAUAUAAUCUAAGAGCUUUCUAAUUAAACUAGUUCAUUGCCAUAUUCUUUUAAAAACACUUCAUAAUGCUGUAUAAGUACAACAACGUUCUUUGCUGCAGAGGUUUUAUUUUUAAAAAGAUAAGCGUGUCUGAUGCAUUUUCUUUUGCUGGAAUGUUAACAGAUCCAUUCAACUGCCUUUUCAUGCUCAAACUAGGAGUCAACUCAUCAAACAUAUUUCUCCAAUGCCAAUUAAAAGUUCUAUCCAUAGAAUCCAAUGUGGUUCAAGCAUACGGCAAGCUAAUUUAUACAUGAGUUACCUUCACUAGCUCUAAUUCCAAAUAACUGGAAAUCUUCUCCUUGGCUCCAGCAAGUUCCAGAUUAGGCCUGCUGUGCUUUGCCCUCUAGAAAGUGGAAAGGAAGUUCAAGGAACUAGCACAGAAAUUUUAAAUAAACUGAAAAUCACUCAGGAAAAUCAAAGUUUUUUACUAACAGAAUCAGAAGACUCAAAGCUGGAAGGGACCCAGAAGGAUCAUCAAAGUCCAUCUCUUGGCCCUGCACAGGAAAGCCCCAAGAAGGAUGCCAUCUGCCUGAGAGCUUUGUUCAGACACUUCUUCAGCUCUGUUGGGCUUGGUGGCACGACCAUACAGAUACAGAACAGACACAUUAUGGUACUUAAAGACUUAGAAGUUUUCUGAAAACAUCCUGCUGAUGUUUUUUUUUACACCUGAAAUGGACAAGUUCAAGCCCUGGUCUCUUCUGACACUGCUCUCUAGUGACUGUUUUGGCAACUUUUUUGUGCAGUGCAGUUUCCUUUAUAUUGGUAACUAGCUUGAGAUUCCUAAACUUCUUUGAUGUGAACACUUCUUUAUUUGAAAGGGGUGCAUUAUUGGGUCAUCUGAAGCAUUUGAAGUAACAUAUUUUAAGAAGUUAAAUCAUGCAUGUUUGAUUAUUGAUGCUGCCUGUCACAAGUAAGUAUUGAAUAUAAUUGUUUCUGUGGUGCUUUCAACAUUUUGUUUUAGAACAAGACUCUUCAUUUCUGCCAUGUUUUUACUCUUCCAAAGCUCUGUAUAUUCCAAGGCUUUGGAUGAGGGGCCAUCCAACCCAAAACAUGGUGGAAGAGAGGCUAUCCCUACUUACUUAUCCACUGUCAAGUUCAUGAGAAGCACAUACAUGAAACACAGGUGUGUGUUUCAGCAUAUUUAACAUAGCUUCAGAUUGGUGGUUGUGAGUUUGUAGUGCUGCUUAGAGGUUUGUUUUUUCUACCUGAAGUACAAUUUUACAGAAACUGAGUCAAUGUCAGCCAGAACCAAAGCUUUGCAUGAGAUGAAAAAUGUAUCUAUAAAAAAUUUGAAAAGUCUGGUUUGUUGUCCAUGAGAAUUUUUGUACCUGUAAUUUAUCAGUGUAAGAAAUCACUGCAUCCAGGCAAAUCAGGUAGUGGCAGGCUGCAGUAAAUUUAAUUCCUUAGUUUGCUGCAUGCCUCAUUUGCUAGUUUAGUAAUUUAAUUCCUUAGUUUGGUGCCUGCCUCAUAGUUAGUUAAAUCAUUUGUUAGCAAAUGAUUUAAUCUAUCAGUUGGAGGUGGACAUCUUAAGUUAGUUGAAGGCCUGAGGACAUGCAGAAAGGCUCACUGUCCUGAGUGCGUUUUGGGUCAGCCUUUCAGGGUUUCAAACAUUACAUUAUGGAGUUGUUGCCUUUUGUUACAACACAAAAAUCAGAGAAAGAUUUAUCAGAUUUAGAUUUGCAGGUGGUGUUUUGUGCCAUAGGGACCCCAAACUGUUGCUGCAGGUUCCUGUUGUGUCUGUGACCUAUAUACUCCCAUGCACAAUUAUGACAUUGUUGGUAAGAAUCCAAAAUUAUAGUUACAGACUCCAAAGAAUAAGGUCCAUUAAUAUAGGAAAGAAUAACUCUAUUUUCAUCUUACUGCCAACAUUUGGUGUCAAAGGGGAUGUUAUAUUUUCUGAUACUCACAGAAAUUUUUACUUUUAAAUUUUAUUAGAGAAGUAAGAUCAUUCCUUUUCAAAGAAGCUAUGAAUAUUAGCAAGAAGAGUCCUGAACUCGGAUAUUAUGAAAUAUAAACAUUUUCAAUUUAAUUAUUUUUUCAAACUUCAAAUAGAAAAUAAAUAAUUCUAUUAGUCUAUGAAAUCGUAAAAUUAAGGCUAUGCUUCUGUUAAUUUUCUGUCUCUGGCUCUUGAUUGAGAAUUGUGAUAUGUUUCAUAAGUUGAUAUGUACAGCUGUGGUGCGCUUGUGUUGUUGAAGGGUGGCAAUACAAAUAGCUCUCAAUUCAGGAGCUGCUACCUAAUAAUCUAAGACCACUAACACACAAUAAUUUUGUGAACAUGCAAAGUAACCACUUUAUGGUAUGAAGUUAUUGUAUAUCAUGUUGUUGUGAUUUCUUGGAUGGAUGCAUUCAUUAGGCUUAAUGAGGGGGUGGGGAGGAAUUGAGGAAGAAAAACAGUAAAGGAAAGCAUGAAAUCUAAAUGAGCAGUCUCCCCACCAACAGCAGGGAGAGGAGUUACCAGAAAAUGAUUUGUAUUUCACUUCCUGCUUAAAUUUGCAAGGAUUUCUUUGCCAGAGCAGCAUACUAGUAGAUCUAGGAAGUUGAAGAUGAUUACAAAAUUAUGGGCAAAAUAAAUAAACGUUUUGGUUACUGAAUGUUACAUUCUCUUUAGGAACUGAACAUAAGUCAGUGUAGCUGAGGUGUUAGAGAUUAUAUAAAGCACCUGUAUGAAUAGAAGAGUUCUUUUCCCUUUCCCUUCAAAAAGUAUGGAUGAAUUAUGUUCUAAGAACAUGAAAGACAGAAAAGGUGCAAACAAGGUUAUAAGUCAUGGUCACACCUGAAUCUGCUUAUAAAUUGGAGAACUGUGCAUUAAUCUACUUUCUGAUAUUUCUUUGACUUUGAAUUGAGGAUUGAGUGAUCUGCAGGCCGGGUAUGGGACUCGGUGGGUAAAUGUCAAUGUCAUUUGGCAGACAAAACUUGGACAAAAAUAAAACUCAGUUCUUUCUGAGAGGAUAAUAGGAUAUAUUUUGUUAAAAAUUAAAAUUUGAGAACAUUAUAAAUGUGAAAUAAUUGGUCAGCCAAAAGGCUAUUAGAAAUAAAACAUAAAGGUAAUUACUAGUAGAUAUAGCAGAAUACAAGGUUAAUUAGUCUCAUUGGUAUGAUGUUAAUAAUUGAAUGUAAUCAGCCCUGGGAUACUUACAGUAGCGCUCUCACUAAAUGUUUUAAAAAAUGUAACAGAAGGAUUUUUACAUUUUGCUUCAAGCAGAGCUUAUGUAUAAACCUUUUAAAGUACCACACUGUCUUGGGAUUUUUGCAUAAUAAAAUGCUUUGUAAAAUGAA
Molecule: long non-coding RNA, 3668 nt
Organism: Parus major (Great Tit)
Lineage: Eukaryota; Metazoa; Chordata; Aves; Passeriformes; Paridae
Exons: 3
Source: RefSeq, a predicted model, not a curated record